AUACGGAGGAUCCGAGCGUUAUCCGGAUUUAUUGGGUUUAAAGGGUGCGCAGGCGGCCAUUUAAGUCAGCGGUUAAAUCGUGGGGCUCAACCCCAUUCUGCCGUUGAUACUGGGUGGCUUGAUUGCGGUCGAGGUUGGCGGAAUUCGUUGUGUAGCGGUGAAAUGCAUAGAUAGGACGAAGAACACCGAUUGCGUAGGCAGCUGACCAGACCGCAAAUGACGCUCAUGCACGAAAGUGCGGGGAUCGAACAGGAUUAGAUACCCUGGUAGUCCGCACAGUAAACGAUGAAUACUUGUUUUCGGCGAUAUAAUGUCGGAGGCAAAGCGAAAGCGAUAAGUAUUCCACCUGGGGAGUACGCCGGCAACGGUGAAACUCAAAGGAAUUGACGGGG
This 392-nucleotide ribosomal RNA is filed under the name uncultured bacterium. RNAcentral's name for it is "partial 16S ribosomal RNA". It matches the Rfam family "Bacterial small subunit ribosomal RNA", at positions 523 to 918 of the family's 1533-position model. The record is from RNAcentral.